RNAcentral lists this ribosomal RNA (495 nucleotides) under uncultured bacterium. RNAcentral describes it as "bacterial SSU rRNA". It matches the Rfam family "Bacterial small subunit ribosomal RNA", at positions 27 to 518 of the family's 1533-position model. The record is from RNAcentral.
GGAGUGAACGCUGGCGGCGUGCUUAAUACAUGCAAGUCGAACGAAGCACUUACGACAGAUCCCCUCGGGGUGAAGAUGUUGUGACUUAGUGGCGAACGGGUGAGUAACGCGUGAGCAACCUGACUCAAAGAGGGGGACAACAGCUGGAAACGGCUGCUAAUACCGCAUAAGACCACAGGGAGGCAUCUUCUAGGGGUCAAAGAAAUUCGCUUUGAGAGGGCUCGCGUCCCAUUAGAUAGUUGGUGAGGUAACGGCCCACCAAGUCCGCGAUGGGUAGCCGAGCUGAGAGGCUGAUCGGCCACACUGGAACUGAGACACGGUCCAGACUCCUACGGGAGGCAGCAGUAGGGAAUAUUGGGCAAUGGGCGCAAGCCCUGACCCAGCAACGCCGCGUGAGGGAAGAAGGUUUUCGGAUUGUAAACCUCUGUCCUAUGUGACGAAGGAAGUGACGGUAGCAUAGGAGGAAGCCCCGGCUAACUACGUGCCAGCCGCUGC